This 594-nucleotide ribosomal RNA is filed under the name Saccharomyces cerevisiae (brewer's yeast). RNAcentral describes it as "eukaryotic LSU rRNA". It matches the Rfam family "Eukaryotic large subunit ribosomal RNA", at positions 1 to 670 of the family's 3401-position model. The record is from RNAcentral. Lineage: Eukaryota; Fungi; Ascomycota; Saccharomycetes; Saccharomycetales; Saccharomycetaceae.
GAUGUGUGGCGGAUGGGGCGUCCAGAGGAGUGUGACCCGCCAAAAGCUCAAAUUUGAAAUCCGGCACCUUCGGCGCCCGAGUUGUAAUUUGGAGAGGGCAACUUUGGGGCCGUUCCUUGUCUAUGUUCCUUGGAACAGGACGUCUUACAGGGUGAGAAUCCCGUGUGGCGAGGAGUGCGGUUCUUUGCAAAGUGCCCUCGAAGAGUCGAGUUGUUUGGGAAUGCAGCUCUAACUGGGUGGUAAAUUCUAUCUAAAGCUAAAUAUUGGCGAGAGACCGAUAGCGAACAAGCACAGUGAUGGAAAGAUGAAAAGAACUUUGAAAAGAGAGUGAAAAAGUACGUGAAAUUGUUGAAAGGGAAGGGCAUUUGAUCAGACAUGGUGUUUUGUGCCCUCUGCUCCUUGUGGGUAGGGGAAUCUCGCAUUUCACUGGGCCAGCAUCAGUUUUGGUGGCAGGAUAAAUCCAUAGGAAUGUAGCUUGCCUCGGUAAGUAUUAUAGCCUGUUGGAAUUCUUGCCUCUGGAAUUAAGGAUUGCACCAAAUUCAGGGUUGUGGGCAUAAGGAUUUUUUUCCCCCCCUUUUUGUAAUAUGAACUACU